This 128-nucleotide microRNA precursor is filed under the name Mesocricetus auratus (golden hamster). Its description in RNAcentral is "miRNA (ENSMAUG00000001996.1)". Lineage: Eukaryota; Metazoa; Chordata; Mammalia; Rodentia; Cricetidae. The record is from RNAcentral.
GGUUUCUCUGUGUAGCCCUGGCUGUCCUGGAACUCACUCUGUAGACCAGGAUGACCUCGAACUCACAGAGAUCCACCUGCCUCUGCCUCCCGAGUGCUGGGAUUAAAGGCGUGCGCCACCAAUGCCCG